AUGCUUCCAAGUGGUCGAGAUGAUGCUCAUGAUGUUCCAUUGAGUAGUGGGUGCAAUGUUGGUACCAAAGUUGCUGAUGAGGAUGCUGGUGCUGCCAGCAUACUUGAUGCCAAAUCGCCUGGUGUUGGUAUUGCUGGGAAUGAAAAUGUUUCUGGUUGUGAAGAUUUGCCGCCGGAGAAUUUCCCGCCUGGAGGUCUUGAUUACGGUGAUGCAUUGCAAUAUGCUUCUAGCGUGGAGGAGGUGCCAUCCGAGGAUGAUGAUUUACUUCUGUCAAUUUCUUCUGACCCCUUGACGCAGGAGGCGCUCUUGUCGUCCUAG
This 318-nucleotide ribosomal RNA is filed under the name Triticum aestivum (bread wheat). RNAcentral describes it as "partial small subunit ribosomal RNA". Lineage: Eukaryota; Viridiplantae; Streptophyta; Magnoliopsida; Poales; Poaceae. The record is from RNAcentral.